GCCCUGCUUAAAGUCACCAAUGACCUUUUAAUGUCUGCUGAUGAAGACCUGUGUCCAGGAGCAUUUUACCUACCACAGUCUGGAAGCACGAGUGGAGUUGUGUGAGGAAGGGCGGCUUGUCCUGUUGGGCCAGAACCCUCUUCUCCACCAUGGUACAUUCCACGUCAUCGUCCUGGAUCACCACAUCCUUCUUCAGGAUCUUUAUUGCGUACAGCUCUUCAGUGGCCUUCAUCUCUGCCAACAUGACCUUCAGAGAGACACAGGGGGACAGAACGCUGCCUCACCUUGCCGAAGCUGCCUUUUCCAAGAACAGCCAGGAAGGAGAAGUCGCAGAGUUUGACCUGGUCCAGGCUGUUGGAAGGCCUAGGGUGGCUGCCGUCCGUCUCAUUCUCGAUGACCUUCUUAUGUGGGCCUAGCUUGGCUAUCUGCACUCACAAAAGGAUGAUCCAAGACAGUGAUGAGUCUGCAUACAGCUGGCCCUCUGGUGCUGUCAGAACAAUGUGGAGCUGAACAUGCUGAAAACUGUAGAGAUGACACUGGACUUAAGGAAGAGCCACACAACACUACGCCACAGAGCACUGUAUGCCAAAACGUCCAGACACAAGAAGAGUUUCUACCCACAGGCCGUCACUCUGAUGAACACACCACUCACAUGAUGUCAGGAACAAUCCCUUUGCAGUAACCCACAUAAACAUCCAGUGUACCUGUACAAUAUAUAUUUUCUCAUUUUUUAAAAUAUAAAGUAUUUUUACACGUAAAUAUCAUCCUCAAACACUAAGUUAUACACAGAGCAUACUGUGGGAUAUCACCUAUCUCAUGUGUAUAAAGCAACCUGUUACAUCAUUCAUAUUUAUUUCAGCACACUUUGCACCAUCACACUAAUGUCUUACUGACUUACAUACAUGGCCAAUAAAGCUUAUUCUGAUAAAAUCAGAAAAAAGAACUGACACUAGAAUGAGAGGGAAAAAAAUUCUCUGUCAGUAUACCCUGUCGGUAUGAAUUGCAGAAUGUGCAAGACAUGAGACUAUUAAGUUAAGUCUUAGUUAUUGCAAGCUUUACUUUCAGUCAUGACCAGUAGGAGGCAUCACAGAUUGUCUAAUUUAAUUUGCCUGGCACAAUAUAAACCUAUCAAGAUAUGUGUGUAGUCUUAACUCUUUUCGGAUGUACUGCAGCUUACAAAUUCAUGUCCAGUCUGUGGCGCUGACAAUUCCUGGUUUAAGAUCAAAUUAUCUUCUUUAAAUAAUAAACCUGACAUAACAAACAUGUUGGUGCAUAAUGAUUCCAUUUAUCCAUUCAAUUGAGUUUAAAAACACGUGCUUAUGCAAAUAGACAAACACUAGGACAAAAGAAGCAGGGGCCACAACAUAGUUGCUUGGAUACAAGUCUUCACAACUAUCUUGGCUUGCAUUUAAAGAGCAGUACAAGACAAACAUGGGGCAGUUUUUACAAAAAAGCGAUUGUUGAACUUGUGUUCUGUCCCACCAUGCAUCAGCUAAAACCAAAACCCUGCAAGAAUGGUAUCUGCUAACCUGAUAAGACUGCAGACCAGCUGAGCCAAGCUGAACACCCACCAAACAUUACGUUUGGUCUUGAUACAUUAUGUUAUUUUAUAACUCAUCAGCUCGGUAAAUUUCAGCCUUGCUCAGCUUUCUGAAAUUAUAACAGCUAAUCAGCCCAUAUGAUUUCACUCUGCAAUCCUGACUGCCUCAUGAAUGCCUUCUAGUGAGGUCUGUACCUCAUCUACUGCAUACUACAUGAAGUUUUAAACUCUUUUUUAUUGGGAAAACAAAUAGGCACAUGUUGCUAAUAUCUGGACAGAUUUCGUUGUUGAUUUCCCUAUUCAUACAGUUGAACUGUUCAGAAGGUUCAUUAUAAUGCACACUGACAUUACAGAGCUUAGUUUUUAAGAGUUGCAGCAGUAGAAAUAGCCUAAAAUUUCAUUCAUUCCUGUUCUUUCAAGAAUUUACAUGAUUUCACACACACACACACACCUACACAAGACACAAAGCCUUGUCUUCAGCUCUCACGAGAUGACCCUACCAAAAAGGAGGCCAGCCAUGUUUGUUCUUCACCUCCCUAGGUAAACACAGUCUAUAAAAACUUAAACCAACAGUUUCCACCCUCUCCGUGGAACUCUGUGCUCCUUUGAAAGCCCACUACUUACAAACUGCUCUGAAAAAGUAGCAUGUUGAACAGCACAACUGAUUUCUUUAUAAUGUAAUAUUAUAUGUGUGUGUAUGUGUGUAUGUAUGUAUGUGUGCGUGUACACAUAUAUAUAUAUAUACACACACACACACACACAGUGGGGAGAACAAUUAUUUGAUACACUGCAGAUUUUGCAGGGUUUCCUACUUACAAAGCAUGUAGAGGUCUGUAAUUUUUAUCAUAGGUACACUUCAACUGUGAGAGACGGAAUCUAAAACAAAAAUCCAGAUCAGAUUGUAUGAUUUUUAAAUAAUUAAUUUGCCCUAACCCUAACCCAUAUAAAAUGGGAUAAUCUAAGCAAAAUAGAUAAAUUUCUUUAAAAUUGGCAUAAAAAGCAUAAUAUGGGCUGAAAAUGAACUGUAAUGGGGUACUGUUCUGAUGGGUUGUAUCUUUAUUACAAGCACACAGUUAGACAGGAGUCUCAACGGCCAACUCCCUGCAGUGGAAAAGUGCUGGCACUGGUACCAACACAAGUGCUGUCAGCUGCUCCAACUUAACUCUGAUUCAUAGGGAAAAUGUAAUAGCAGGAUUUUAAGUAAAUUUUCUCUUGGCAAGAAUCUGUUGGCUUUUUUGCACGAUGACUCAGACACUACAAAGAAAUGGAAAUGACUGUUAAGGCUGCGGAGUGGAAGCAGUGGCAGUAAGUCAGCGGCAUUCAAAUCACUGGGCAGUGAUCGUCAAAUGGCAACCCGCAGGCUGCAUGCAAACACCAACUCGGCCUCAUAGCAAGUCCUCCUUGGAUUCAGAGAGCCAACAAUAAAAGGGAGGAUAUAAUUUUGUUUGAAUGACUGGCUUACUGAAUAAGAACCUUACUGGUAACAUGGACGUGAUAAUGCAGGGACAAAUUGGAAAACGGUGUAUUAAUCGAUAUGUGAAGAUAUUAAAUUAUACAAUUAAAGAAUUAUAUGAAACGGACGAACUUUGACAUUUCACUAAUUUAGUGACUCUGAUCAACAUGAUCAGCUCAAUAGGAAGGAGGGGGAGGAAUGAGGAUGUGCUGCACCACUGAGUGAGAAAGGAAGAGAGACAAGUGGGAAAUUAGAAUGCAAAUAGCUUAUUGGCAAAAAAAAAAAAAAUACUAAAUAUGGAGAGAAAUCUGAACUAGGGCAACCUAGAUGUUAUGCAGGCUCAUGCAAAAAAAACAAAAAACAAAUUUAAAGUUAAAAUCUGACACUUGACUCAGUGAGCAUCCUUAAAAAGAAUGAGUGUGAGGUGAUACAAGGAGGUGAGUGAAAAGAGAUUGAAGAGUGAAGACAGAGAGAAAUAUAUGCAUCUACAGUGUUGCUGCACAGGAUUUAAUACACAAGAAUUAUUUUAACACCGUAUUAAGCUUGUGUGAACACCUCUGUUACAAAGUAUGGAAUUGUUCUGUUCACUGCAUGAUUUCCCACAUUUACCAGAAUGCUGUUUCAGAUAGCGCAUGGACUUUCUGCAGACAUAAAUGAACAGUACAUUGUUGUAAGUUUAUCCAGAUAAAAAAGUAAAUGUGCAUAAAGAGCAAUACCAUGAAACAUUUAAAUUUUUGCAUGCAGCUUAUGACCAGAUGAGAAAGCUGUGGUUGCAGUGCAUUCUGGUAUCCACUCUAUCUUUCUCCCUGUUUGGCUGUAUACACCAACAUAUACCAUUAAUGUUUCAGAUAGAUACUUUCUUGUUCAGAUAGAUAUCUUCUUCUGCUGUUAUACUUUCUAAAUUUGGACAGUUUUCUACAUUAAAAACAAUACGACAACAUCGGCAGUAAAAUAGAUUCAGAAUUGCAAGGUAAAUUGUUUCUCGCUGCAUCAGCCACAAGAUGUUAACAGCGUUUAGGGUGGAUUUUGUCUUUUACUGUAAAGGGCUGAUACACCUCCAGAAGGUUCAAAAGCAAAAUCUGAAUUCCUUGAUCCACCCACAUCUAUAUCCACUCUGAGCACCGAUCUGACCUUCACACACCUACACUGCACCUACAUAUAAAACAAAUUGACUCCUACAGCAGCAUCAGUGUAGUGAAUAGCAGAAAACACAUUUGGACAGCGAGGCAAGAAUAAAAAUCUAAUGAAAAGGUUAAAUCAGAGAGGAAGGGGAGCAGAGGGCUUGUUAAAUGAGGCUUUUCUGCAGAACUGGGUGAGUCAACGAGGGAACAAAUGGAAA
This is a long non-coding RNA of Micropterus salmoides (largemouth bass), 4332 nucleotides long. RefSeq lists it as uncharacterized. Lineage: Eukaryota; Metazoa; Chordata; Actinopteri; Centrarchiformes; Centrarchidae. The transcript has 4 exons. The record is from RefSeq and is a predicted model, not a curated record.